RNAcentral lists this ribosomal RNA (789 nucleotides) under Metarhizium sp. RMK-2011b. Its description in RNAcentral is "SSU rRNA". Lineage: Eukaryota; Fungi; Ascomycota; Sordariomycetes; Hypocreales; Clavicipitaceae. The record is from RNAcentral.
AUGAAAUUCUAUUAUACCAAAGGGACUCGGUAAAGGCGAAGGCAGCCCUCUAUGUAAAAACUGACGUUGAAGGACGAAGGCACAGAGCACAAACAGGAUUAGAUACCCAAGUAGUCUUUGCAGUAAAUGAUGAAUGUCAUAGGUUAGAUUAAGCUUUAAUUAAUUAGUUUAUCAGUAAUGAACUAACUAUUAAACAAUAUUUAGUCUAUAAAUGAAAGUGUAAGCAUUCCACCUCAAGAGUAAUGUGGCAACGCAGGAACUGAAAUCACUAGACCGUUUCUGACACCAGUAGUGAAGUAUGUUGUUUAAUUCGRUGAUCCACGAAAAACCUUACCACAAUUUGAAUAUUUUACAGGAGUUGCACGGCUGUUUUCAGUUAAUGUUGUGAAACUGUGGUUUCCAUGAAAUUAACGCAAUCCCUGGCUUUAUUUUUUUUUUAUUACGAUAAAGCAUUUGAUCCAGGAUUUGGAAAGAAAAAGGGGACAAAGACAAGUCAUCAUGGCCUUGAUAUUGUGGGCUAUAGACGUGCCACAUAUUCCUACACAAAGAGAUGCAAAAAUGUGAAUUUAAGCUAAUCUCUAAAAAUAGGAUAUAAAUUUUAAGGAUUAUAGUCUGAAACUCGACUAUAUGAAUAAGUAAUUACUAGUAAUCGUGAAUCACCAUGUCACGGUGAAUUUACCUUGGAUUGGUACUAAGCACUCGUCACAUGCUGAAAAGAGCAUGCGCAAUAAGUUUGCUUUCUUGAUGAUCAGUAAAAAGAAUAAGCAGGUUCUAUAUUCUAUUAUUAAG